CUUCACCGAACCGACCAGCAGCGGGGUCCGCCGAUCCUGACCAUAGGUGGCGAGCAGGGCCUGCGCCUC
Molecule: antisense RNA, 69 nt
Filed under: Actinophytocola xinjiangensis
Lineage: Bacteria; Bacillati; Actinomycetota; Actinomycetes; Pseudonocardiales; Pseudonocardiaceae
Description: Actinophytocola sp. QAIII60 ASpks TB sRNA
Rfam family: ASpks TB sRNA
Source: Rfam by way of RNAcentral